RNAcentral lists this long non-coding RNA (223 nucleotides) under Panax ginseng (ginseng). RNAcentral's name for it is "long non-coding RNA (PGIN_LNC008732)". Lineage: Eukaryota; Viridiplantae; Streptophyta; Magnoliopsida; Apiales; Araliaceae. The record is from RNAcentral.
UUCAUUCGUAAUUUACGGUACCGACUCUGUUACCAUUUUUACACACCAGUAUCGGUACCAAAUUAUAUGUGACGCCCCCAAAAUAGGUAUACAACACCCAUUCUGAGUCGCCAAAAUACAUGGUAUAGAAAGCAAACUACAACUUUGAUAAUACAGAUGUCGUGUAGAAUACGACAAUACAACUGUGAGUUUAAAUACAAAUAUUGUCUUCUAGACAAUAUAC